Long non-coding RNA from Rhinolophus ferrumequinum (greater horseshoe bat), 1127 nucleotides. RefSeq lists it as uncharacterized. NCBI's taxonomy places the organism in Eukaryota, Metazoa, Chordata, Mammalia, Chiroptera, Rhinolophidae. The transcript has 3 exons. The record is from RefSeq and is a predicted model, not a curated record.
GAGGGAGAGAACAAGGGGAAACCCGCAUUCCGGUGGGGUCCAAGCCCGAGCCGCCGCAAAGCCCGGGAUGGCGGGGCAGAGUCUGGACAGGCCCCUGCAGCCCGGGGACCCUCGACUGACUCCGGGUCUCGCUCGCCGCUCGGGGCACUGCAGUGUCAGGGUGCCUUAGAGGUGCGGGCUCCCAGGGCUUAAACGCACCAGGCGCGGUGCAUAGAGGCCGCCCUCGGUGCCCUCCUCCAGGCAGGCAGCACGGCAAACCAAAGUUUCCCCAAGUGCAGCCUGCAGAGACCGCGGGGCACACUGACCUGGGACGCGCUGUCGAGUCGGCGGCGGCGCCUCCCGCCUCCCUCGCUCUGUCGUCUCCGUCCCUCCGAGCCAGUGGCCCCAGGGCGUCGUCCGGACUGGACUGUGGUCUUCGGCGGCUCGAGUCGCAGAUCCGGCUUCCCCACUCCCACAGCAGAGCUGAGUGGUUCCAACAGUGACCAUGUGGCCCUCAUCUCUGCGCUGACACUUUGCAGAAGACGUUUGCUGACUCCUGCUCUACAAGAUGCCACACGGUGCUAUAGAGAUGGGCAGUGAGCAAGACGUUUGGGUGUCAGGCUGCCUGCGGACGUUUACAGAGAACUCGGGGCGAUAGGAGGACGAGCGUUCGCUGAUUGAGGGUCUGCAGGGUCCAGAGCCUCUUCCCGCUCACAACCUGAAACAAAGACCACCCACGAGGAAGCAAGGGCAGAAGUCUGUGUGUACGAAUGGCAUACUGGGGAAGGACAGGCUUCCUGGGCCAGAGGGAAAAGCCGAAGGAGAGUAUAUCCCACAACACAACACUUUUGACCAAAUAUAAUGACCUAGGCAAUGAGAACAUAGGUAAUUCAGAACUACAAUCCAAGCCUGAUGUGUAAUGUGAAGAAAAGACUGUAAAUGAUACAAUUAUUUCCAAAGAAUGCUAUUAUUCGUUCUGGUCUCUGCCCAUGAAUGAACGAGUCACUUUCCUAAAACAUGGAGUUCUUGGCUGAGAAGACCUGAACUCUGCUUCCAUUUCUCACAGCCAUUAACAAUUAGCAUAAAUUCCUUUUAGUCUUUGGUUUCCAACACCUCAAGAACCCCCACUAGAAACAAAAUGUAUUUAC